Molecule: ribosomal RNA, 288 nt
Filed under: uncultured Paenibacillus sp.
Lineage: Bacteria; Bacillati; Bacillota; Bacilli; Caryophanales; Paenibacillaceae
Description: partial 16S ribosomal RNA
Source: RNAcentral
CUACUGGGGUUUCUAAUCCUGUUUGCUCCCCACGCUUUCGCGCCUCAGCGUCAGUUACAGCCCAGAAAGUCGCCUUCGCCACUGGUGUUCCUCCACAUCUCUACGCAUUUCACCGCUACACGUGGAAUUCCACUUUCCUCUUCUGCACUCAAGUCCACCAGUUUCCAGUGCGAACCAGGGUUGAGCCCCAGCCUUAAACACCAGACUUAAUGAACCGCCUGCGCGCGCUUUACGCCCAAUAAUUCCGGACAACGCUUGCCCCCUACGUAUUACCGCGGCUGCUGGCAC